This 429-nucleotide ribosomal RNA is filed under the name Alteromonas sp. SCF29. Its description in RNAcentral is "bacterial SSU rRNA". It matches the Rfam family "Bacterial small subunit ribosomal RNA", at positions 37 to 603 of the family's 1533-position model. Lineage: Bacteria; Pseudomonadati; Pseudomonadota; Gammaproteobacteria; Alteromonadales; Alteromonadaceae. The record is from RNAcentral.
UGGCGGCAGGCCUAACACAUGCAAGUCGAACGGUAACAUUUCUAGCUUGCUAGAAGAUGACGAGUGGCGGACGGGUGGGAACUUGCCUUUGCGAGGGGGAUAACAGUUGGAAACGACUGCUAAUACCGCAUAAUGUCUUCGGACCAAACGGGCCGGCGCAAAGAGAGGCCCAAGUGAGAUUAGCUAGUUGGUAAGGUAACGGCUACCAAGGCGACGAUCUCUAGCUGUUCUGAGAGGAAGAUCAGCCACACUGGUUGUAAAGCACUUUCAGUUGUGAGGAAAAGUUAGUAGUUAAUACCUGCUAGCCGUGACGUUAACACAGAAGCACCGGCUAACUCCGUGCCAGCAGCCGCGCGGAGGGUGCGAGCGUUAAUCGGAAUUACUGGGCAAGCGCACGCAGGCGGUUUGUUAAGCUAGAGAGUAAUGCUU